UCCAGUUGAUCCUGCUGGAGAUUGCUGCUAUGGGGGUUCGAUUAAGCCAUGCAAGUCGGAGGGACUCUUCGGAGUCACAGGCGAAAGGCUCAGUAACACGUUGAUAAUCUGCCCUAUGGUCGGGAAUAACCUUGGAAAACUGAGGCUAAGACCCGAUAGUCAAUUAACACUGGAAUGUGUUUUUGAUCAACAUAGGAUGAGUCAGCGGCUGAUUAGGCAGUUGGCGGGGUAAUGGCCCACCAAACCUUAGAUCAGUAUGGGCUUUGAGAGAAGUAGCCCAGAGAAGGACACUGAGAAACUGGUCCUAGCCCUACGGGGUGCAGCAGGCGCGAAACCUUUACAAUGCACGCAAGUGUGAUAAGGGAACCCCCAGUGCUCAUGUUAUACAUGGGCUUUUGUAAAAGGUAAAUACUUUUACGAAUAAGUGGUGGGUAAGACUGGUGCCAGCCGCCGCGGUAACACCAGCGCCACGAGUGGCAAUCACUUUUAUUGGGCCUAAAGCGUCCGUAGCUGGUUCUGUAAGUCCUUUGUGAAAUCGUCAAGCUUAACUUGACGGCGUGCUUAGGAUACUACAGAACUUGGAAUCGGGAGGAGUCAGAGGUAUUCUGAGGGGAGCGGUAAAAUGCUAUAAUCCUCAGAGGACCACCGGUGGCAAAGGCGUCUGACUAGAACGAAUUCGACAGUGAGGGACGAAAGCUAGGGGAGUGAUCCGGAUUAGAUACACGAGUAGUCCUAGCCGUAAACGCUGCGAGCUAGGCGUUGCAAAUUCUACGUGAAUUUGCAGUGUCGUAGCGAAGGUGUUAAGCUCGCCGCCUGGGAAGUAUGGUCGCAAGGCUGAAACUUAAAGGAAUUGGCGGGGGAGCACUACAACGAGUGGAAUGUGCGGUUUAAUCUAAUUCAACGCAGAGAAUCUCACCAGGAGCGACGGCAGGAUGAAAGUCAGAUUGAAGGUCUUACUUAACGAGCCGAGAGGUAGUGCAUGGCCGCCGUCAGCUCGUGCCGUAAGGUGUCCUGUUAAGUCAGGCAACGAGCGAGACCUGCACUCAUAAUUGCUAGCUGGCUCUUUGGAGCGACAGAGCACAUUGUGAGGACUGCCCUGGAAACAAGGAGGAAGGUGCAGGCUACGGUAGGUCUGUAUGCUCCGAAUCUCCUGGGCGACACGCGCAUUACAAUGGCAGCGACAAUGGGAUACAACUCCGAAAGGAGAAGUUAAUCCUCGAAACGCUGUCUCAGUUCGGAUUGAGGGCUGUAACUCGCCCUCAUGAAGCCGGAAUUCGUAGUAAUCGGACUUCAACAUAGUCCGGUGAAUACGUCCCUGCUCCUUGCACACACUGCCCGUCAAACCACUCGAGCCGGGUUUAGAUGAGGUCUAAUUUCUUGAUUAGGUCGAAUCUAAGCUCAGUGAGAUGGGUUAAGUCGUCACAAGGUA
Molecule: ribosomal RNA, 1429 nt
Filed under: metagenome
Description: bacterial SSU rRNA
Rfam family: Archaeal small subunit ribosomal RNA
Source: RNAcentral